AAUUAUGACGUACUUGUACUGAUUGAGAUUUUAACACGAAGUGAGUGGCGAACGGGUGAGUAACACGUGGGUAACCUGCCCAGAAGUAGGGGAUAACACCUGGAAACAGAUGCUAAUACCGUAUAACAGAGAAAACCGCAUGGUUUUCUUUUAAAAGAUGGCUCUGCUAUCACUUCUGGAUGGACCCGCGGCGUAUUAGCUAGUUGGUGAGGUAAAGGCUCACCAAGGCAGUGAUACGUAGCCGACCUGAGAGGGUAAUCGGCCACAUUGGGACUGAGACACGGCCCAGACUCCUACGGGAGGCAGCAGUAGGGAAUCUUCCACAAUGGACGCAAGUCUGAUGGAGCAACGCCGCGUGAGUGAAGAAGGGUUUCGGCUCGUAAAGCUCUGUUGUUAAAGAAGAACGUGGGUAAGAGUAACUGUUUACCCAGUGACGGUAUUUAACCAGAAAGCCACGGCUAACUACGUGCCAGCAGCCGCGGUAAUACGUAGGUGGCAAGCGUUAUCCGGAUUUAUUGGGCGUAAAGCGAGCGCAGGCGGUCUUUUAAGUCUAAUGUGAAAGCCUUCGGCUCAACCGAAGAAGUGCAUUGGAAACUGGGAGACUUGAGUGCAGAAGAGGACAGUGGAACUCCAUGUGUAGCGGUGAAAUGCGUAGAUAUAUGGAAGAACACCAGUGGCGAAGGCGGCUGUCUGGUCUGCAACUGACGCUGAGGCUCGAAAGCAUGGGUAGCGAACAGGAUUAGAUACCCUGGUAGUCCAUGCCGUAAACGAUGAUUACUAAGUGUUGGAGGGUUUCCGCCCUUCAGUGCUGCAGCUAACGCAUUAAGUAAUCCGCCUGGGGAGUACGACCGCAAGGUUGAAACUCAAAAGAAUUGACGGGGGCCCGCACAAGCGGUGGAGCAUGUGGUUUAAUUCGAAGCUACGCGAAGAACCUUACCAGGUCUUGACAUCUUCUGACAGUCUAAGAGAUUAGAGGUUCCCUUCGGGGACAGAAUGACAGGUGGUGCAUGGUUGUCGUCAGCUCGUGUCGUGAGAUGUUGGGUUAAGUCCCGCAACGAGCGCAACCCUUAUUACUAGUUGCCAGCAUUAAGUUGGGCACUCUAGUGAGACUGCCGGUGACAAACCGGAGGAAGGUGGGGACGACGUCAAAUCAUCAUGCCCCUUAUGACCUGGGCUACACACGUGCUACAAUGGAUGGUACAACGAGUCGCGAGACCGCGAGGUUAAGCUAAUCUCUUAAAACCAUUCUCAGUUCGGACUGUAGGCUGCAACUCGCCUACACGAAGUCGGAAUCGCUAGUAAUCGCGGAUCAGCAU
RNAcentral lists this ribosomal RNA (1316 nucleotides) under Leuconostoc mesenteroides. RNAcentral describes it as "bacterial SSU rRNA". It matches the Rfam family "Bacterial small subunit ribosomal RNA", at positions 59 to 1355 of the family's 1533-position model. Lineage: Bacteria; Bacillati; Bacillota; Bacilli; Lactobacillales; Lactobacillaceae. The record is from RNAcentral.